GACGAACGCUGGCGGCAUGCCUAAUACAUGCAAGUCGAGCGGACAGAAGGGAGCUUGCUCCCGAAAGUCAGCGGCGGACGGGUGAGUAACACGUGGGCAACCUGCCCCUUAGAUUGGGAUAACUUCGGGAAACCGAAGCUAAUACCGAAUAAUACAAGGAACCUCCUGGUUCUCUGUUGAAAGAUGGCCUUUGUGCUGUCACUAAGGGAUGGGCCCGCGGGGCAUUAGCUAGUUGGUAAGGUAACGGCUUACCAAGGCGACGAUGCGUAGCGGACCUGGGAGGGUGAUCGGCCAAACUGGGACUGAGACACGGCCCAGACUCCUACGGGAGGCAGCAGUAGGGAAUCUUCCGCAAUGGACGAAAGUCUGACGGAGCAAUGCCGCGUGAGUGAGGAAGGCCUUCGGGUCGUAAAGCUCUGUUGUGAGGGAAGAACAAGUACCGGCGUAACUACCGGUACCGUGACGGUACCUCACCAGAAAGCCACGGCUAACUACGUGCCAGCCGCCGCGGUAA
Molecule: ribosomal RNA, 514 nt
Filed under: uncultured bacterium
Lineage: Bacteria
Description: partial 16S ribosomal RNA
Rfam family: Bacterial small subunit ribosomal RNA
Source: RNAcentral